This 434-nucleotide ribosomal RNA is filed under the name uncultured bacterium. RNAcentral describes it as "bacterial SSU rRNA". It matches the Rfam family "Bacterial small subunit ribosomal RNA", at positions 954 to 1392 of the family's 1533-position model. The record is from RNAcentral.
GCACAACGCGAAGAACCUUACCCACCUUUGACAUGUACGGAAUCCUUUAGAGAUAGAGGAGUGCUCGAAAGAGAGCCGUAACACAGGUGCUGCAUGGCUGUCGUCAGCUCGUGUCGUGAGAUGUUGGGUUAAGUCCCGCAACGAGCGCAACCCUUGCCAUUAGUUGCUACGAAAGGGCACUCUAAUGGGACUGCCGGUGACAAACCGGAGGAAGGUGGGGAUGACGUCAAGUCCUCAUGGCCCUUAUAGGUGGGGCUACACACGUCAUACAAUGGCUGGUACAAAGGGUUGCCAACCCGCGAGGGGGAGCUAAUCCCAUAAAGCCAGUCGUAGUCCGGAUCGCAGUCUGCAACUCGACUGCGUGAAGUCGGAAUCGCUAGUAAUCGUGGAUCAGAAUGUCACGGUGAAUACGUUCCCGGGUCUUGUACACACCG